AAGAACUAGUGAGCCGACAACUGCUGUUCUAAUAUGUAGGAGAACACAGCUCGACAUGCAAGAUUGUCGUCAAUGGGUUAAGAGCAGGAUGGAAGACAGAGGAGCCAAACCUUGCGAAUUUUCUCAAACAGCUCCACCUCACAAACCCUCUGAUUCAGUUUCAAACACUACUUUUUCUGGUAAAUAAUAUGGUGAUAUUUUGAUGCUUUUCCUUCUUUGAGGUGCUAAAAGUAUCUCCAUUAAUGGUUCUAUCUUUUGGAUUUAAGAAACUCACCAUAUAUGUUUGCAUAUUUAUGCCACUUAUCACUAUCAUGAUUAGGCAUCUUGAUAUUACUGUCACAAUCAUUACAAAACACUAUCCUUCAUUUUUUGUCUUCUUUUAGCUCAAUUAAUUGUUGGUUAGCGAAUGCAUUCUUUUUUAUUUAGAUUUCCAACUUGAAGAAUCAUGACUUUUGCAAUUUGUUUUUGCUCGAUUUCCUUUUUAAUUAUUAAAAUUUUCUCACCUUGUGUAGGUUCUCCCCGUAAUCCUCAGACUGUAUCUUUCUUGGAAUUGCUAGAUCUUCCUUAUGUUCUUGAUAAUGCAUUGGACUCCAGGGAUACUCCUGCUUCAUUGCCUCAAAAGGGUAAAGAGUUUUCUAUUUACCUUGUCCCACUCAGUUUUGAUGCAUUGUCCCUUUAUACGGUACUUAACGGCUUCUAGUUAAUCUUCAUUGUGAUGCAGUCAAACCUAGAGUAUACAUGAUUCUAGGAAUACCUUUUGCUUCUCGUGUUUAAUAUGGUGCUGAUGCUCUCUCGCAUAGUUUAAUGGGAUAGAUAAUUGAUCAUUUGCUUUCAAUCAAGGUAGAACAUUGAAUGUGCCUAAUGUUUUGAACUUUGUGCAUAUCAUAUGUAAUGCUAUAACUUUGCCUCGUACACGUUUAUUGAACUAAAUCCAUUAAAUUUCUUAAGGUGACAUCGUUUUUCCUGUUGGUUCAUUAGAUGAUUACAGCGAAGACAUUCCCAUUGAAGACGAGGAUGAUCUAGAAGAUGGAGAACCGAAUAAUGAAAACCGGUCCUCAUGAAUGUGAAUAAUGUUUUCUAUCAACCAAGAGGUUUAUUAGUGCAAAAAGAUUGAUGGCAAUAUCCUGCAAUUCUGGUUCACAGAUUUUAGUGCUCGGUUCGAUGGUUUUAUUGUCCGGUUUAGCUUUUUUACUUGUUUGAACCAGGCUACCUGUUGUACGUAUUCCAGGUAGGGAUAUCCCAUUCUACCGAUAUCCCGAGCUGGGAUAUCCUGCAUUACGGGUACACCGGUUUGUGGCUGUUUUGCUUCGGAUCUAUCCCGAUUUGGGUCUUUUUUUAAAAAAAUAUUUAUAAAAAAUUAAUAGGGAAGGCCGAUGUUUUUUAGAAUUUUAGGUCCAUUUUUCCAAAAAAAAAAGGACACCUUUUAAGCCCACCUCAUUUCCAAAAAAAGCCCCCACGAUCAUUAAUGCAUUAAAUUUUAUUUUCUAUUCCUUCAAACUAGGCUAGCUAUUUGAUUUUCUUAUUUGUCUUAAUUCGUGAGGGAUAGUGCUUUUUCAAACAAAAUUUUAAGUAAGUUAAGUGUGAAAAACAAUUUAUUUUAAAGGAAAAAAAAUUAAUACAAGAGCAUUCAAGUCUUUUAAUAGUUUACAUAAAAGCUUAAAAAAAGACUUUAAAAAUCAAUAACAGAAUUUAGAAUCUAAUUAUUAAGGUGCCUCAACCAAUAUUAAUCUGACAAUCCGUAUUAUUCAUGUCACAUAACAUUAACUUCGAAAACGUUUAAUGGUUUUUUAUUUAAAUUCUCAAAGUUAAAGUAAAUCUGAAGUUGAAUCCCCAAAUCAAAAUUGAAAUUGAAGGCCUUUUAAAACUUUCUUGUGAGAUGAUUUCUAUGAUAUAAAAUGUAAUCUUUUCGUUAGUAUGUUUUGCAUGCGAAAAUAUGUUCCAUGUCAAAAGAAUUAAGCUCUGAAUGUAACAAGAAAUUUUGAAUAAGUAACGGCAAUUUUUAAUGUUUUAGGCCUCGAAUCAUAGGUUUUAAAAUUAUAUUUCAACUUUAAAUUAUUGUUAUUAUUAAAAUCACCAAAAUUUUAAGAGUAUAGAGUUUUGAUAACUUAGAAUAAACUAAAAUGUCAUGAAAUUUUUGAAAUAUAAAAUACAAAAUUAUUUUAUUUUAUUUCAUUUUAAUAUUAUUGUUAGUCAAAUUAUGUUUAUUAUGGUAAACAUAAUAUUAAAUUAAUUUUGAAAAGUUUUUGUUGAAUUUUUAUAUUUAUAUAUUAUAAAAAUUAAGCCAUAGCCUCCGCUGUAAAAGGAGAAGGUAUGUGGCCAUGCAUGGUUGUUUUCUAACAUAACACAGAACCAAAACAAUUUCUAAUAAGGAUAGCCGAGCAAGAUUUGCUAUUGUGUUUGCAAUUGUUGGACAAAAACACAUUAGCGAACAUGUAAUUAAUUAUAAAUAAACACAUAUAAAAUAAAAUAUAAAUAGAAUGAUAUUUAAUUAAAUUUUUAAAUACGAAAAUCAAACAAAAUUGUAAUAAAAAUUGAAAUAAGAAGAAUAGAGAUUUUACGAAACUUUAAGACCUAUGAAACACAAUAUACUUAAGAUAGAUUCGGCUGCUCCUACGAUAUUUGGAGAAAUAUUGAUAGAAUGUCUCUCAACAUACAACAAUAACAGUAAUUUUGAUAUUUUCUUUACUAGUUUUUUAAUUGAUUGGUAAUACAUAACCUCCGGACUAGCACUGUCUAUAAUGGUUGUGGUGUACCUUGAAAUAUUAAAUAUUAUAAUUUUUUAAGAUAUUAUGAUGAUAUUUUUUAUAUAUAAAAUCAAUAAAAAACAAAUAAUAAGAUUUUUAAAAAAAUGACAAAUCUCAGACUUUUUGUUUUCUUCUUUAUAAAUCUUUUGUCUUUGCUUGUUCAUCUCUAUUUUUUAUUUCAGAUAUAUUUAUUCAUCACUUGAAGUAAAGCAAAAGGGAAAGUAGGAGGGUUUCGAUGAGAGUGAAGUCAUUCUGGAAAUACUAUUCGGGUCAGGAGAUUGCCCCAGUUCUCACCAUUUUUAUCGGUGGAAAUCAUGAAGCUUCCAAUUAUUUAUGGGAAUUGUAAGUCAGCCCCUUUUCUUCAUAUGUUCUAGCUUGGGGAUUUUGAUUCUUUUAUGAAAAGGCCUUGAAUUUUACCUUCUGCAAUUGAAAUGUGUGAACUUUAGGUAUUAUGGGGGAUGGGCAGCACCUAAUAUAUACUUGUUGGGGUUUGCUGGGGUUGUGAAGUUUGGCAAUAUCCGUAUCGGUGGACUUUCUGGAAUUUACAAUGCACCUAAUUAUUGUUUAGGUUGGGGUUGAAGUUCUUUUACUUGUCUAUUUUGUGUUUAUUCUGGAGUUCUUUUGAUGGUGAUUGUUUAUUUACUGAAAGCGAGUGUCAAAUAUGUUAUAUUGAUUCUUAUUUAGGGUGGAGAGUCGAAGCUUUGAAACUUAAAUGAAUUAGCUUUUCCUUGAGCAGGACACCAUGAAAGGUCACCUUAUAAUGACAAUACUAUGGGAACUGGCAAAUUGACAGAAACUGAUUGAUAUUCACAAUACUAUAAGGAUAUCAUGUCCGGGAGUAUGAUGUUCACAAGCUCAUGCACCUAGAGGAACCGAUUGAUAUUUUCCUUUCACACGAUUGGCCGCUCGGCAUCACUGGGAACUUGCAACAACUUGUUUGCUACAAAAAAACAUUUCAAAGAUGAGGUAAUUAUAUUUGAUUGGUGGAAAUGCAUAUGUGUGACAGAAUGAAAAUCUUCAUAUCAAGCGUAUUCAGUUUUCUUGUUGACCAUUCCUGGUUACUUGUUGGUUGAAGCAUAUUUCCUAGAUCCAGCAAGGAACUCUUGGAAGCAAGCCUGCUGCACAGCUGCUCGAAAAACUCAAACCAUCGUAUUGGUUUUCAGCUCACUUGCACUGCAAAUUCACUGCUCUUGUUGAACAUGAAGAGGGUGGUCGAGUGACAAAAUUUCUUGCACUCGAUAAAUGCCUUCCAGGGCGCAAGUUCUUGCAGGUAUCUAUCAUAUGUUCUGACCAUUUCAUUUAGGUUCUUUCUUUUGGUCUUUGCUGGAAGCUAAUAAAUGAAUUCUGGCUUUCUUUGAUCUUUUAGAUUGUUGAUAUUGAAUCUGAUCCAGGACCUUAUGAGGUUCAGUACGAUGAGGAAUGGCUGGCAAUAACACGGAAAUUGAACUGUGUCUUUCCUUUGACCUUCUGACGUGGAGACUUUGGGUGUGUGUAUAUAUGACAUUUUUGUUUUGACCAUGCCACUCAUCGCUCUCUCUCUCUCUCUCUUGGGUGGGGUGGACUAAUGUUUUAUUUGAAAAUGUGCAAUUUUCUAUUUUUACAAGUACUAUUUCUUUACAAGAACUAGUGAGCCAACAACUGUUGUUCUAAUAUGUAGGAGAACACAUCUUGACAUGCAAGAUUGUUGUCAAUGGGUUAAGAGCAGGAUGGAAGACAGAGGAGCCAAACCUUGUGAAUUUUCUCAAACAGUUCCACCUCACAAACCCUUUGAUUCAGUUUCAAACACUACUUUUUUCUGGUAAAUAAUAUGGUGAUAUUUUGAUGCUUUUCCUUCUUUGAGGUGCAAAAAGUAUCUCCAUUAAUGGUUCUAUCUUUUGGAUUUAAGAAAAUCACCAUAUAUGUUUGCAUGUUUAUGCCACUUAUCACUAUCAUGAUUAGGCAUCUCGAUAUUACUGUCACAGUCAUUACAAAACACUAUCCUUCAUUUUUUGUCUUCUUUUAGCUCAAUUAAUUGUUGGUUAGUGAAUGCAUUCUUUUUUAUUUAGAUUUGCAACUAGAAUAAUCAUGACUUUUGCAAUUUGUUUUUGCUCGAUUUCCUUUUUAAUUAUUAAAAUUUUCUCACCUUGUGUAGGUUCUCCCCGUAAUCCUCAGAUUGUAUCUUUCUUGGAAUUGCUAGAUCUUCCUUAUGUUCUUGAUAAUGCAUCGGACUCCAGGGACACUCCUACUUCAUUGCCUCAAAAGGGUAAAGAGUUUUCUAUUUACCUUGUCCCACUCAGUUUUGAUACAUUGUCCCUGUAUACGGUACUUAGCGGCUUUUAGUUAAUCUUCAUUGUGAUGCAGUCAAACCUAGAGUAUACAUGAUUCCAGGAAUACCUUUUGCUUCUCGUGUUUAAUAUGGUGCUGAUGCUCUCUCAUAUAGUUUAAUGGGAUAGAUAAUUGAUCAUUUGCUUUCAACCAAGGUAGAACAUUGAAUGCGUCUAAUGUUUUGAGCUUUGUGCAUAUCAUACGUAAUGCUAUAACGUUGCCUCGUACAUGUUGAUUGAACUAAAUCCAUUAAAUUUCUUAAGGUGGCAUCAUUUUUCCUGUUGGUUCAUUAGAUGAUUACAGCGAAGACAUUCCCAUUGAAGACGAGGAUGAUCUAGAAGAUGAUGCAGAACCGGAUAAUGAAAACCAGUCCCCAUGAAUGUGAAUGAUGUUUUCUAUCAACCAAGAGGCUUAUUAGUGCAAAAAGAUUGAUG
This 5482-nucleotide long non-coding RNA is filed under the name Gossypium barbadense (sea-island cotton). RNAcentral describes it as "long non-coding RNA (GBAR_LNC020731)". Lineage: Eukaryota; Viridiplantae; Streptophyta; Magnoliopsida; Malvales; Malvaceae. The record is from RNAcentral.